RNAcentral lists this ribosomal RNA (165 nucleotides) under uncultured bacterium. Its description in RNAcentral is "partial 16S rRNA". It matches the Rfam family "Bacterial small subunit ribosomal RNA", at positions 355 to 511 of the family's 1533-position model. The record is from RNAcentral.
UAGGGAAUCUUCCACAAUGGGCGAAAGCCUGAUGGAGCAACGCCGCGUGUGUGAUGAAAGGGUUUCGGCUCGUAAAACACUGUUGUAAGAGAAGAAUGACAUUGAGAGUAACUGUUCAAUGUGUGACGGUAUCUUACCAGAAAGGAACGGCUAAAUACGUGCUAG